GAUGAACGCUGGCGGCGUGCCUAAUACAUGCAAGUCGAGCGAACAGACGAGGAGCUUGCUCCUCUGACGUUAGCGGCGGACGGGUGAGUAACACGUGGAUAACCUACCUAUAAGACUGGGAUAACUUCGGGAAACCGGAGCUAAUACCGGAUAAUAUAUUGAACCGCAUGGUUCAAUAGUGAAAGACGGUUUUGCUGUCACUUAUAGAUGGAUCCGCGCCGCAUUAGCUAGUUGGUAAGGUAACGGCUUACCAAGGCAACGAUGCGUAGCCGACCUGAGAGAGUGAUCGGCCACCCUGGAGCUGAGACACGGUCCAGACUCCUACGGGAGGCAGCAGUAGGGAAUCUUCCGCAAUGGGCGAAAGCCUGACGGAGCAACGCCGCGUGAGUGAUGAAGGUCUUCGGAUCGUAAAACUCUGUUAUUAGGGAAGAACAAAUGUGUAAGUAACUAUGCACGUCUUGACGGUACCUAAUCAGAAAGCCACGGCUAACUACGUG
Molecule: ribosomal RNA, 497 nt
Filed under: uncultured bacterium
Lineage: Bacteria
Description: partial 16S ribosomal RNA
Rfam family: Bacterial small subunit ribosomal RNA
Source: RNAcentral